Molecule: ribosomal RNA, 411 nt
Filed under: uncultured eukaryote
Lineage: Eukaryota
Description: SSU rRNA
Rfam family: Eukaryotic small subunit ribosomal RNA
Source: RNAcentral
CCAGCACCUGCGGUAAUUCCAGCUCCACUAGCGUAUAUUAAAGUUGUUGCAGUUAAAAAGCUCGUAGUUGAACUUCUGGUUGUGCGCAGAGGCCGGUCUCCGAUCGCCCUGGGUGCAGCCAUCCGUCUGCAAACCUUUACAGCCUUAACUGGUUUGUCUAGGGGAGCAGGCAUUUUACUUUGAAAAAAUUAGAGUGUUUAAGGCAGGCUCUCGCCGCUGAAUACAUUAGCAUGGAAUAAUGGAAUAGGACGCCUUGUCCAUUUGAUUGGUUAUUGGACUUGCGUAAUGAUUAAUAGGGACAGUUGGGGGCAUUAGUAUUUAAUUGUCAGAGGUGAAAUUCUUGGAUUUAUUAAAGACUAACUUAUGCGAAAGCAUUUGCCAAGGAUGUUUUCAUUAAUCAAGAACGAAAGU